Molecule: long non-coding RNA, 215 nt
Filed under: Lathyrus oleraceus (garden pea)
Lineage: Eukaryota; Viridiplantae; Streptophyta; Magnoliopsida; Fabales; Fabaceae
Description: Pisum sativum (pea) long non-coding RNA (PSAT_LNC011261)
Source: RNAcentral
UGAUAUGAUGAUAAUGAGAUAUGAAAUUAAAGUGCAUUAAGUAAAUGACAUGAACUUAAAUGACUUGAAUUAAAUGACAAGAAAGUAAAUGUCAAUAAUGUAAAAAGCAAGAUUAAUGUUAGGAGUUACUGGUUAGUUAAUGAUGUCGGGACAAUGACAAUGUAUGUGUUAGACAAGUUAGAGAAUCAACAUAAAGUUAAUCUCAAACAACAAUG